CCGCGCGAAGGUAGCGUAAUCACUUGUUUUUUAAAUAAAGACUAGUAUGAACGGCCGCACGAGGACCUAACUGUCUCCUUUGUCCAAUCAGUGAAACUGAUCUCCUCGUGCAGAAGCGAGGAUUUUACCAUAAGACGAGAAGACCCUAUGGAGCUUUAAACUUUUAUUAAUUAUUCUMUUCAYCCCUCCAAGGARCUAACAWCUAAUUUAAUYUUYUUAUAAAAGUUUUKGGUUGGGGCGACCAUGGAGAAAAAAAAUUCCUCCYUGAUGAUACCUAACUAAGAGCCACAGCUCCAAGUAUUAAGACACUUAACUCCCAUUGACCCAUUUUAUGAUCAACGAACCAAGUUACCCUAGGGAUAACAGCGCAAUCCAUUUCAAGAGUCCYUAUCGACAAAUGGGUU
This 404-nucleotide ribosomal RNA is filed under the name Boulenophrys kuatunensis (Kuatun horned toad). Its description in RNAcentral is "partial 16S ribosomal RNA". It matches the Rfam family "Bacterial large subunit ribosomal RNA", at positions 1946 to 2518 of the family's 2925-position model. Lineage: Eukaryota; Metazoa; Chordata; Amphibia; Anura; Megophryidae. The record is from RNAcentral.